Molecule: long non-coding RNA, 302 nt
Filed under: Elaeis guineensis (African oil palm)
Lineage: Eukaryota; Viridiplantae; Streptophyta; Magnoliopsida; Arecales; Arecaceae
Description: long non-coding RNA (EGUI_LNC073471)
Source: RNAcentral
CGCUCCCUGACGAGGGUCGAAGCCGAAAGUUCGAGGUCGGAGGAAGCCGGGCCCCCUUAGGGCUCUUUUUGCCUUCCGUCUUCCCAUGCAUAUAUUUUUUCUUGUGUUGUUUUGUCUUGUUCUUAUUGUUUUGCUUUUCUUCCUUUAGCCUGCUGGACUUUGUAGUGUAUAUUUGGAGAAUGAAAUGAAAAGGAGAUUUUGUAUUACCUCGUCCACGCAUUGCAUUAAAUUAUCGUCCGCCGAACUUCUUUUGUCUUUCGACUUGUUCGACGUCGGUGUCGUUCGGAGAUGCCCAGUCGUCG